Long non-coding RNA from Gadus macrocephalus (Pacific cod), 559 nucleotides. RefSeq lists it as uncharacterized. NCBI's taxonomy places the organism in Eukaryota, Metazoa, Chordata, Actinopteri, Gadiformes, Gadidae. The transcript is spliced from 2 exons. The record is from RefSeq and is a predicted model, not a curated record.
ACAAUGACCUCCCCGUGCAGGACCUUCCUUCGCUGGCGCAGCAUAUGGAAGAACAGCUGAGGGAACACUGCAGAAGAACCACACACGGUCAGGACCACGCCCGUUCUCAGAGGAACCACAGACAAAACUGCAUUAUUGAAAACUCACCAAUGGCGCAGUGUCCCACCUGCAAGCAGACACAAAGACAUUGUAAGUACUGGAAGACUAGGCGUUUUAAACUAUAAUGCUUUUUUAUUAUGAAUGGUAUUUCCUCACCUCAACUAAAGCAGCGGUCUGGAAGAACUUGAGUGUCUUAGCUAUGCUCCUGUAGAGCCCCCUGUGGGUUCCUUUCUGGAGGUAGAACCUCAUCAUGGUGAUGGCUAGAACCAGCCACCUGCAGAACCACAAAGCAAGUUAAGCGGAAAGCAACACGUCGCCUCAUUGAGUGAUGAUUGACUGAAGUCAAGGUUAGAUUUAUCGAUAAAGCACCCUUCACACUGAAGCCAUUUAAUGGGCGAUCAAUAAAGUACAGUGCUUAAGGGCCAUGGUGCCUAUCGAAUAACCCUUGAAGCCGCUUCCC